GUGAAUCAUCGAAUUUUUGAACGCAUAUUGCACUAUCUGGUAAUCCGGAGAGUAUACCUAUUUGAGGGUCAUUUGAAAUAUUAUUGAUUUCGAUGUUUGCUUGAAAUUAGAAAUGGGUAGGUCCAGCUUUUGUGUGGUGGUCGUCUAAAAUGUAAGACAGGUUUAUUUCUUGGGUGGCGUGAUACUUUAGGA
This 192-nucleotide unclassified non-coding RNA is filed under the name Glomeromycetes sp. Its description in RNAcentral is "partial contains 5.8S ribosomal RNA and internal transcribed spacer 2". The stretch from base 1 to 71 matches the Rfam family "5.8S ribosomal RNA", at positions 84 to 154 of the family's 154-position model. Lineage: Eukaryota; Fungi; Glomeromycota; Glomeromycetes. The record is from RNAcentral.